This 499-nucleotide ribosomal RNA is filed under the name uncultured bacterium. RNAcentral's name for it is "partial 16S ribosomal RNA". It matches the Rfam family "Bacterial small subunit ribosomal RNA", at positions 28 to 507 of the family's 1533-position model. The record is from RNAcentral.
GACGAACGCUGGCGGCGUGCCUAAUACAUGCAAGUCGAGCGAAGUUUUUCUGGUGCUUGCACUAGAAAAACUUAGCGGCGCACGGGUGAGUAACACGUAAAGAACCUGCCUCAUAGACUGGGACAACUAUUGGAAACGAUAGCUAAUACCGGAUAACAGUAUUUCUCGCAUGACAGCUAUUUAAAAGUUGGUUAUGCUAACACUAUGAGAUGGCUUUGCGGUGCAUUAGCUAGUUGGUGGGGUAAAGGCCCACCAAGGCGACGAUGCAUAGCCGACCUGAGAGGGUGAUCGGCCACACUGGGACUGAGACACGGCCCAGACUCCUACGGGAGGCAGCAGUAGGGAAUCUUCCGCAAUGGGCGAAAGCCUGACGGAGCAACGCCGCGUGAGUGAAGAAGGAUUUCGGUUCGUAAAGCUCUGUUGUUAGGGAAGAAUGGAUAUGUAGUAACUAUACAUGUAAGAGACGGUACCUAACCAGAAAGCCACGGCUAACUACGUG